GGAGGGAUAGCAUAGUCCGGCCGAAUGCGCGCGUCUCGAAAACGCGUGGGCAGAAAUGCCCCGUGGGUUCAAAUCCCACUCCCUCCG
This 87-nucleotide transfer RNA is filed under the name Pseudomonadota bacterium. RNAcentral describes it as "tRNA-Ser". It matches the Rfam family "tRNA". Rfam says of the family: Transfer RNA (tRNA) molecules are approximately 80 nucleotides in length. Lineage: Bacteria; Pseudomonadati; Pseudomonadota. RNAcentral also lists the same sequence under 3 other names. The record is from RNAcentral.